AUUGAACGCUGGCGGCAGGCCUAACACAUGCCAGUCGAGCGGAUGAAGGGAGCUUGCUCCUGGAUCCAGCGGCGGACGGGUGAGUAAUGCCUAGGAAUCUGCCUGGUAGUGGGGGAUAACGUCCGGAAACGGGCGCUAUACCGCAUACGUCCUGAGGGAGAAAGUGGGGGAUCUUCGGACCUCACGCUAUCAGAUGAGCCUAGGUCGGAUUAGCUAGUUGGUGGGGUAAAGGCCUACCAAGGCGACGAUCCGUAACUGGUCUGAGAGGAUGAUCAGUCACACUGGAACUGAGACACGGUCCAGACUCCUACGGGAGGCAGCAGUGGGGAAUAUUGGACAAUGGGCGAAAGCCUGAUCCAGCCAUGCCGCGUGUGUGAAGAAGGUCUUCGGAUUGUAAAGCACUUUAAGUUGGGAGGAAGGGCAGUAAGUUAAUACCUUGCUGUUUUGACGUUACCAACAGAAUAAGCACCGGCUAACUUCGUG
Molecule: ribosomal RNA, 483 nt
Filed under: uncultured bacterium
Lineage: Bacteria
Description: partial 16S ribosomal RNA
Rfam family: Bacterial small subunit ribosomal RNA
Source: RNAcentral